GUUGGAUCUUUCAACAUCCUUACUCAAAAUGGGAAAUUCUGAAGUGGAAGACAGUCCCCAGUAUAGCUGUGAAGAGACUACAAGUAGCCAUAAUUCAAAUAAAAAUAGAAGAAGCAAAGCAAAAAAAAAAGAGGGCGUCAACAAACAACUUAUCCGGUGCCACUAUGAGGACCUGGAAGGCGUGGAGGAGAGCAGGGAUCAGCAGUGCUCACAGAGUUUCCGGCUGGAGCUGCUGGAGAAGAUGCCUCAGAUGCCAAUUGUCAGAAAGGCUGACCCCAACAUGAAAAAAUUCCAUUAAGCUCUGGUGGAUGGCUCCUCUCUGACCUAACGAACAGUAGCAGUGAUGUUUAAUCAGGACAGAGGCCUGGUGAUCAGCAGAAAAGGAAACAUCAUAAGGGAAUGGACCUGGCCUUCAAAGGGAAUACUUGAUAAUCCAGAGGAAAUUUGGGUAAAUAGGUUCAUCACUGUGAAGAUUUCUGGACGUUCUGCCACCACCUUGGUCUACAAGUGGCAUUCCCAAAGCCUGAAGCUAUCUUUGGCACCUGUAAAAUGCCAGCCUUUCCCUCCAUGCCUACCCAAGGUGGGUUCCUCUUCCCAUUGAAAGCAAGGAUACCUGGUUUGCUUCCCAGCUGGUUUGUCCCAUGGUCCUAAGGAGAACACUGUGCAGGGACACAGGACACACGUACCAGUGUAGCUCUCACAGCAUCCUGAAAGUGACAGACCUGGAGUAUGAUCACCUUAGAAGCAGCCAGAUGUCCUCUGCGGACCAGGUCAUCAUAGUCUAUGUCUUCUCAGUCAUUCAGAUUCCUUUCGGUUGCUCAAAUAUAACAUUGUGUCUGCUUCUAAAUUCAUGGGCAGCAAUUGUCCUCUUCUUGUUCAAAGGCACAAUAUCAUCCCAGGAAUUUUUUUGAUGUACAUUCAGGCAAAAUUACCAUUUGCCAACUUAAUUUUCAAUGGCUAUAGCACAUCUGCUAAAGACCUUCAAAAGCAAAUUGUGAAGACAAGGACGGACUACUAUAUGGGAUAUUUCCUACCCAAUGACUUCAGAAUCCA
This 1053-nucleotide small RNA is filed under the name Pongo abelii (Sumatran orangutan). Its description in RNAcentral is "transcribed unitary pseudogene". Lineage: Eukaryota; Metazoa; Chordata; Mammalia; Primates; Hominidae. The record is from RNAcentral.